GUGGGGAAUAUUGGACAAUGGGGGGAACCCUGAUCCAGCCAUGCCGCGUGUGUGAAGAAGGCCUUUUGGUUGUAAAGCACUUUAAGCGAGGAGGAGGCUACCGAGAUUAAUACUCUUGGAUAGUGGACGUUACUCGCAGAAUAAGCACCGGCUAACUCUGUGCCAGCAGCCGCGGUAAUACAGAGGGUGCAAGCGUUAAUCGGAUUUACUGGGCGUAAAGCGCGCGUAGGUGGCCAAUUAAGUCAAAUGUGAUAUCCCCGAGCUUAACUUGGGAAUUGCAUUCGAUACUGGUUGGCUAGAGUAUGGGAGAGGAUGGUAGAAUUCCAGGUGUAGCGGUGAAAUGCGUAGAGAUCUGGAGGAAUACCGAUGGCGAAGGCAGCCAUCUGGCCUAAUACUGACACUGAGGUGCGAAAGCAUGGGGAGCAAACAGGAUUAGAUACCCGGGUAGUCC
This 451-nucleotide ribosomal RNA is filed under the name uncultured bacterium. RNAcentral describes it as "partial 16S ribosomal RNA". It matches the Rfam family "Bacterial small subunit ribosomal RNA", at positions 354 to 796 of the family's 1533-position model. The record is from RNAcentral.